This is a long non-coding RNA of Arachis stenosperma, 1308 nucleotides long. RefSeq lists it as uncharacterized. The record is from RefSeq and is a predicted model, not a curated record. The transcript has 4 exons. Lineage: Eukaryota; Viridiplantae; Streptophyta; Magnoliopsida; Fabales; Fabaceae.
UGGCACAAAAUGAAAACCUAAACCCGCCCAACUCAAAACCACAUUCUCAAUCCUUUCCUAAAUCCAUCGUUUAUGUUUCUCACCAGAAGCUUUGUUUUGCCGAGCCUUUGUUCCGUAAACCCAUCGUCUAUAUUUCCCUAAACUCAUCUUUUCAUCAGAAACUCUGUUCACUGGCUGCUGCUGCUGCUGCUGGUUGCGUCGCUGACGCUCUUGCUUGCUGUUCGCCUGUUGCCACAGUUCUGUCCCUCUUCCUUUCUCUUUAUUUAUCUCUGACCACUGAGCCACGACCCACCGCACCCUUCGUUAACUGCCACUGCUUCCUCUGCGUCAACCCUCCUUACACAGCCAAUGCCAGUAUCGUUCUGGUGAUUCAUCCCCUCUGCUCAUUGCAACUGCUAGCCACUCCAUUUCUAAGUUCAACUAGCAUCCCCCCUCUCCCUAUAACUCAUUUUGUCAAUUCGCACCAGGUCAAUGGAUUGCUUUCGGUUAGGUUGGCCAAUGCGUGUUGAUGCUGAUUUCUUUUGGGUGCCAUCAAUUGAGCAGUUCAAUUUUGACAAAUCUAAUUUUAUGAUUAAAAAGGAAAAGACCCUUGGAUUCUUUCAAUUGGAUUCUUUUUCGACUUUAUCCAUGGCACAAUAUGAAAUGAAUUGCAGAUGUUCCUUCACAGCAUAGCAUGAUCCUGGGAACUCUUAUUGACAACCAAAUUGGCAAUCCUAUACUAUGUUUGAUUAAAUUGGUUUUAUUUUUUCAUCAAUCAUUUCUCAAUAUAAAUUUUAUGACUAAUUAUGUGAGAAUGCCAAAACAGAAGAUUGUUUUAAAAUAGAUGUAUUUGAUUAGCUUGUUUGAUAUUAUGAAUGUUUGAAUCUGUUCUGCCUUCUUUCUUUUUAAUAUUGGGUCAUAUUUUGUGGGGAUUUCAAACUCCCACAAUUUUUUUUUUAAAUAUUGGCUUACCAAAUUGCGGGAGUUUUAAACCGCUACAAAGUUGGAAAAAACCGCUGCUAAUUGCAGGGGUAAAAAACUGACGCAAUAUAUACCAGAUAACAGCGGUUUCUUAAAAACUCCCGCAAUUAAAUAGCAGGACACAUAACUGCGUUAAUUUUCUGAACCGAUGUAACUUUUUGCGCGGUCAAAAACUCCCGCUAAACCGAAAAAAAACUCCCGCAAUUUAGUGUCUUUUUUGUAGUGGCACUUAAGAAUACCUAUUGUUCUACGAAUUUCUCAACCCUCAAAACUCACUAUUUCUUAUAUAUCACAUUUUGUAUACUUCUUUGAAAAUAUUAUUUCAGAAAGAGUCACUCCUUGUAAUAA